UACGUAGGGAGCAAGCGUUGUCCGGAAUCAUUGGGCGUAAAGCGCGCGUAGGCGGCUUCAUAAGUCCGUUGUGAAAGUCAAAGGCUCAACCUUUGAAAGCCGAUGGAUACUGUGAGGCUAGAGUCCGGAAGAGGCGAGUGGAAUUCCUGGUGUAGCGGUGGAAUGCGCAGAUAUCAGGAGGAACACCAAUAGCGAAGGCAGCUCGCUGGGACGGUACUGACGCUAAGGCGCGAAAGCGUGGGGAGCGAACAGG
Molecule: ribosomal RNA, 253 nt
Filed under: uncultured bacterium
Lineage: Bacteria
Description: partial 16S ribosomal RNA
Rfam family: Bacterial small subunit ribosomal RNA
Source: RNAcentral